UGGGGAAUUUUGGACAAUGGGCGAAAGCCUGAUCCAGCAAUGCCGCGUGUGAGAAGAAGGCCUUCGGGUUGUAAAGCACUUUUGUCCGGAAAGAAAUCCUUGGCUCUAAGUACAGUCGGGGGAUGACGGUACCGGAAGAAUAAGCACCGGCUAACUACGUGCCAGCAGCCGCGGUAAUACGUAGGGUGCAAGCGUUAAUCGGAAUUACUGGGCAUAAAGCGUGCGCAGGCGGUUUGCUAGACCGAUGUGAAAUCCCCGGGCUCAACCUGGGAACUGCAUUGGUGACUGGCAGGCUAGAGUAUGGCAGAGGGGGGUAGAAUUCCACGUGUAGCAGUGAAAUGCGUAGAGAUGUGGAGGAAUACCGAUGGCGAAGGCAGCCCCCUGGGCCAAUACUGACGCUCAUGCACGAAAGCGUGGGGAGCAAACAGGAUUAGAUACCCUGGGUAGUCCACGCCCUAAACGAUGUCAACUAGUUGUUGGGGAUUCAUUUCCUUAGUAACGUAGCUAACGCGUGAAGUUGACCGCCUGGGGAGUACGGUCGCAAGAUUAAAACUCAAUGAAUUGACGGGGU
This 571-nucleotide ribosomal RNA is filed under the name uncultured bacterium. Its description in RNAcentral is "partial 16S ribosomal RNA". It matches the Rfam family "Bacterial small subunit ribosomal RNA", at positions 355 to 919 of the family's 1533-position model. The record is from RNAcentral.